Molecule: long non-coding RNA, 1166 nt
Organism: Myxocyprinus asiaticus (Chinese sucker)
Lineage: Eukaryota; Metazoa; Chordata; Actinopteri; Cypriniformes; Catostomidae
Exons: 3
Source: RefSeq, a predicted model, not a curated record
UCCAAACGGGAUAAAUCUGCCUCCAAAGGGCAUGGCCGCCAUGUUGAAGGGUUGUUCCAAUCCGAAUGGGCCCAUAAAAUAGCUUUGAAGGGCACUUCAAAAGGGACGUUUCUGAAGGGUUCAACUGAUGGACACUUCACUGCCAAGCAGACCAGAACCAGUGUUACAAUAUAUUCAGUUCCUGAGAUAUUUGGUUCCAGUGGGCGGAGCAUACAUGAAUAUUCAGGAAUUAUCCUGACCUGCGUGUUGAAGUGGAACUGAAAAAGUAAGCACACCACCGUCAUGACUCAAGUUCAACAUGCCUGAAGGAUUAUUUCAAAAAGAGCCGAGGAGGGAGGGGCCGGGCUGGAAUGACGCACGCCUGGUCCCCAAUCAGCCUGAUGGGGCGGGCGAGGGAUAAAGGCGGCCGGGGACAACAUUUGGAGAGAGAGAGAAUUACAGGCAGCUGCCCUGCAUGUGUUUAUGUUUGUGUGUUUUUGUUUAAGUUUAUUAUUAAACUAUUAUUUAAGUUGUCAAGCCGGUUCUGGCCUCCUCCUGUCGGGAGGGAUGCCCGUCGCAGAGUCCUCGAUGCUGCCAUCCACCGGGGGACGGAGUAGCCCGACCACCCGGACGUGGGGAACGGCCGCCGUCCGCGAGGCGAGUGGGGACUGGACUCCCCGACCGCCUGGAACGAUGGAGCUGCUGCCAGGGGCGGAGGAGUGCCCUGCCGUCCCCCAGAAACGCAGAGGGGUCGAGAGAAGACCGCCGUCCGCGAGGGGAGGAGGGAAGCGACUCCCCGACCGCCUGGAGCACUAGGGCCACUGCCAGGGGCGGAGGAGUAUCCCCACGGGUUAGCCGGGAACGCGGAGGGGCGUUCUGUCCGCUGGGGGUCGGAGAUCAGACUCCGGUCCGCCCGGGGAGGAGCGGCUGCCAUCCGCCUGAGAGGGUGGAGAAGUGAUCGAGGACCACGCGACAGCGCAUCAGAGAACCGGUCGAGGAAGGCGGGGAUGACCCGCCAGCAGUCGGGGCGCAAGGCACCCCCCCCCGGAGAGGAAGGGGGGAUGUACGUCAUGCCGGGGGCUCCCCAGCUGGGGGCUCCCCAGCCUGAGGCAACACCAGGUGGAGUGUAGAGCCGAGGAGGGCGGAAAAGUUUAUUAUUAAACUAUUAUUUAAGUUGUCAAGCCGGU